RNAcentral lists this small nucleolar RNA (74 nucleotides) under Cervus elaphus hippelaphus. RNAcentral's name for it is "Small nucleolar RNA SNORD116". It matches the Rfam family "Small nucleolar RNA SNORD116". Rfam says of the family: HBII-85 is a member of the C/D class of snoRNAs, which contain the C (UGAUGA) and D (CUGA) box motifs. HBII-85 is encoded in a tandemly repeated array with another C/D snoRNA, HBII-52, in the Prader-Willi syndrome (PWS) region of chromosome 15. Unlike most other snoRNAs, HBII-85 is expressed prevalently in the brain (but is absent in PWS patients) and lacks any significant complementarity with ribosomal RNA. Lineage: Eukaryota; Metazoa; Chordata; Mammalia; Artiodactyla; Cervidae. The record is from Rfam by way of RNAcentral. RNAcentral also lists the same sequence under 1 other name.
GGAUCUCAUUCCUUGGAAAAUCUGAACAAAAUGAGUGAGAACUCACUAUUGUCUCCUCAUCGAAACUGAGGUCC